Molecule: long non-coding RNA, 2883 nt
Filed under: Vitis vinifera (wine grape)
Lineage: Eukaryota; Viridiplantae; Streptophyta; Magnoliopsida; Vitales; Vitaceae
Description: long non-coding RNA (VVIN_LNC006878)
Source: RNAcentral
AAAGCUCUUCCUGAUGAUGAUCCGCGUAGUUUCAAGCAACAGGCUAAUGUCCAUUGCACCUAUUGCCAAGGGGCUUAUGAUCAGGUUGGGUAUACCGACCUAGAACUCCAGGUUCAUGCUUCAUGGCUUUUCCUCCCUUUCCACCGUUACUAUCUCUACUUCAAUGAGAGAAUUCUUGCAAAGUUGAUCGACGAUCCCACCUUCGCUUUGCCCUAUUGGGCUUGGGAUAACCCUGAUGGCAUGUAUAUGCCGACCAUCUAUGCUAGUUCCCCAUCAUCAAUCUACGACGAGAAGCGCAACGCCAAGCACCUGCCUCCGACUGUGAUCGAUCUCGACUACGAUGGCACCGAACCCACAAUCCCUGAUGANNNNNNNNNNNNNNNNNNNNNNNNNNNNNNNNNNNNNNNNNNNNNNNNNNNNNNNNNNNNNNNNNNNNNNNNNNNNNNNNNNNNNNNNNNNNNNNNNNNNCAGCAGCAUCGGAGACUUCCCAAAAGCUCUAACUCAGUGAUAAGAGUAGAAGUUCCGAGGCCAAAGAAAUCAAGAAGCAAGAAGGAGAAAGAGGAUGAGGAAGAGGUGUUACUGAUAAAAGGAAUAGAGCUAGAUAGAGAGAAUUUCGUGAAGUUUGAUGUGUACAUCAACGACGAAGAUUAUUCAGUGAGUAGGCCUAAGAAUAGUGAGUUUGCAGGAAGCUUUGUGAACGUACCACACAAGCAUAUGAAAGAAAUGAAGACGAAGACCAAUCUGAGGUUCGCGAUAAAUGAGCUGUUAGAGGACUUGGGAGCCGAAGAUGAUGAGAGUGUGAUCGUGACUAUAGUCCCUCGUGCUGGGGGCGAUGAUGUCACCAUUGGUGGAAUUGAGAUCGAGUUUGUUUCCGAUUGAUCCCAUCUUUCAAUGAUUAUCCAUUAUAUGUAUGUAUCAGGUAAGUCACAUCUUUAUGUGACUAAUGGAAAAUGUGAGACUUCUCUGUACUCUCCCGUCAAGUCUUUUAUUAAUUUAGAGCUGUUUGGUUUAAAUUUAAGGGGUUUUUAAUUGGUGUUAGUUUCCUGUGCCUUUUAUUUACUUUAGAUUGAAGUGGAAAUUGAAGUUAAAUUUACUACUUUUAUAAGAUAAUAUGGGGGGUUAUAAAUAUUUUAUAAAAAAUCAAACAACUUUUUGUACAAUUUAAAAUAUUUUUUUUAUAAGAAAUAAUAUUUAUCUCAUUUUUAUGUUAUUUUUUUAAUUAUAAGUUCUUUAAACAAAAUUAAACAAAUAUAUUAGAUUUAGGAAAUAGUUUUUGAUUUCUUAAAGAGGAUCCAAGAAGUUGCUAAAUAUAUUAUGGGAUAUCCAAGAUCAUGGGCUUUUUUUCAAAUCAAUAAUUGGAAAUAUACGCCAUAUUUGAAUGGUAUUUUUCUUCUUCCUACUUUUCCUAAUUUCUUUUAUGCUAUUUACAUAGCAAAUGCCAAUUUAAAUGCCCUUCUUUUUUUAGAUUUAAUAUCCAAUAACUAUUUGUAAUACAUUUGAUGACUACUUGUUAUAUAAUUAUAUGAUAUAAAAAUAAUGCAAAAUAAUAGCCCUGAGGGGUAGCUCAAUUGGUCUGGUAUUGGGUUUGCUCCCCAAUGAUUACCAGUUUGAGUCCCCUCAAAACCAUUGGAGGUUUACCUAGUCGUUAACUUUAGGGCCCUGUGGGAUUAGUUGAGGUGCGUCUAACCUGGGUCGGACAUCCAAGAUUAUUAAAAUAAAAAAACAUACUUGUUACAACUAUUGGAUUGAGUCCCUACAAAUGAAACAUGAGGUAGUAAAGUUUUAUUUAUGAUAUUUUAUUUGUUACCCCUUUUUAUGUAUUGACAUUAAUUUAAUCAUUUAGCUUAUAUGACUUCCAUUGUACAUGAUUUAGGUGUAUUAAGAAUUAUACAAAAUAUAUAAUUUAUGAGUUCAUUGGAAUAUGAUAAGUUGUUCAUAAUCGGUUUAUAGAUUUGGAUAAUCUAGUAAAGACUGUAAUAUUAUCUCAUAAUUUGAGAAAUGACUUGUCUACCGCUAAGAUGAGAUUCUUAUGGUGAGUGCAUUAGCAUGAUAUUAUUGGACAUUUUUAAAGGAUAUAUUUUGAUUGAAAACAUUCAUAGCAUAAAUAUGAGUACUUGUAGACCCCAUAUGGGGCUCGGUUUUCAUGCAGCCUGUUUUGCCAAGUGUCACAAUUCCAUAAGGCCACAUGUUGAUUUCUAGUUGGUUGUUGGGAAUCAGAGUAGUGGAAUUGGAGGACCAAUGAGAGGUCGACACGUGGCAAGAAGAUUCCAAAGAAUCUGCAGAAGCCGUUAUGGAGGAGCGUCUCUGGCGGCUGGAGAGGAGGUUGCUUUUUGGACGUGUUUGUUGAGAGAUAUUUCAGGGAGAGGAGGAUAGUUUAGCUCGAGAGAGGUGGUGCUUUUUGCGAAGUUGCUUGGAGAUAUUUUGAGGGGAUCUCCUUGGGUGAGGGGGCAGGCUGGUGACUCAGGGACACUAGAGAGAGAAAAACAGGGGAAUCAGAGGAGAAAAGGGUGAGAGUUUGAGGGUGAGUUUCUAGCUUAGAGGAGAGGCUACCGGAGGAGAGAACAGGGAGCAGCAAACUGUGAGAGGUAGUGGUGCUAUUGGCUGCCGUUUAGAGGAACUUGAGAGAGAGCGAGACUUGAGAGAGAAAGAACCAGAGAGUUAGAGUUUUCCAGAGAGAACAGAGAGCUUGAAGGAGAAGAAGGUAAGGGUAUGACUGCCACUAAUCUUUUUGUUUUUUUUCGUUGGUAAAUAGUCUCUUUACCUCUUCUCGAUAUUUUCUACGGAUUGCUUGAUUUGUGUUUAGUUUUUAUGGUUCAUGUUUGGUUGAUAUCUCUUUCAUUUUCUUCGAGAUGAUUCGAGAGUGAUACGACUAUGUUUUUAGUU